RNAcentral lists this ribosomal RNA (270 nucleotides) under uncultured archaeon. RNAcentral describes it as "partial 16S ribosomal RNA". It matches the Rfam family "Archaeal small subunit ribosomal RNA", at positions 477 to 747 of the family's 1478-position model. The record is from RNAcentral.
CAGCACCUCAAGUGGUCAGGAUGAUUAUUGGGCCUAAAACGUCCGUAGCCGGUUUAGUAAAUGCCUGGGUAAAUCGUGUAGCUUAACUAUACGACUUCCGGGUAGACUGCUAAACUUGAGACCGGGAGAGGCUAGAGGUACUCCUGGGGUAGAGGUGAAAUUCUGUAAUCCUAGGGGGACCACCAGUGGCGAAGGCGUCUAGCUAGAACGGGUCUGACGGUGAGGGACGAAGCCCUGGGGCACAAACCGGAUUAGAGACCCGAGUAGUCC